AUCCUUCGGUUCAUGAGCAUGAUGACUGGGUGUUCAUGCUGCAUGCAUGAGAUGUGUGCCUCCCUCCACCCUUGUUACGAUAUCAGCACAUUACCCUUCUGAUC
Molecule: non-coding RNA, 104 nt
Organism: Fukomys damarensis (Damara mole-rat)
Lineage: Eukaryota; Metazoa; Chordata; Mammalia; Rodentia; Bathyergidae
Source: Rfam